GCAGCGCAUGUUUGACCACGAUGUUGUAAAAGCUCACCCCUUUGAGCCGGGCGGUGCGGAUAUAUUGCGCCGUCAUCACCUCGGCCAUAGAGGCGCGGGUCAUGCGGGCGAUAUAGCCCAUGCCAUAGAGCGCCAGUGCCAUCACCGGCAGGGUGAAGUUGACGAAGGU
RNAcentral lists this non-coding RNA (169 nucleotides) under Candidatus Halocynthiibacter alkanivorans. Its description in RNAcentral is "Ruegeria cis52 sRNA". It matches the Rfam family "Ruegeria cis52 sRNA". Rfam says of the family: Cis-encoded. Targets oligo/dipeptide ABC transporter. The record is from RNAcentral. Lineage: Bacteria; Pseudomonadati; Pseudomonadota; Alphaproteobacteria; Rhodobacterales; Paracoccaceae.